AUCCAACUUACGAGUCUAAAAUAGGAUGAAAUACACAUCCUGGAU
This 45-nucleotide non-coding RNA is filed under the name Trichobilharzia regenti. Lineage: Eukaryota; Metazoa; Platyhelminthes; Trematoda; Strigeidida; Schistosomatidae. The record is from RNAcentral.